UGGGGAAUAUUGGGCAAUGGGCGAAAGCCUGACCCAGCGACGCCGCGCGGGUGAUGAAGGCCUUCGGGUCGUAAAGCCCUGUCAGAAGGAAAGAACGAUCUUAUGGUGAAUACCCAUGAGAUGUGACGGUACCUUCGAAGGAAGCACCGGCCAAUUCCGUGCCAGCAGCCGCGGUAAGACGGAAGGUGCAAGCGUUGCUCGGAAUCACUGGGCGUAAAGGGUGCGUAGGCGGCUUCUUAAGUCUGGUGUGAAAGCCCAGGGCUCAGCUCUGGAAGUGCACUAGAUACUGGGAAGCUUGAGUAUCGGAGGGGAGAGUGGAAUUCCUGGUGUAGCGGUGAAAUGCGUAGAUAUCAGGAGGAACACCGGUGGCGAAGGCGGCUCUCUGAACGGUGACUGACGCUGAGACGCGAAAGCGUGGGGAGCAAACAGGAUUAGAUACCCAUGUAGUCCCUGAGCGGGCUGGCAAGGCGCAU
RNAcentral lists this ribosomal RNA (473 nucleotides) under uncultured bacterium. RNAcentral's name for it is "bacterial SSU rRNA". It matches the Rfam family "Bacterial small subunit ribosomal RNA", at positions 355 to 825 of the family's 1533-position model. The record is from RNAcentral.